CCUACGGGAGGCAGCAGUGGGGAAUAUUGGACAAUGGCGGGAACCCUGAUCCAGCGAAGCCGCGUGAGUGAAGAAGUAUUUCGGUAUGUAAAGCUCUAUCAGCAGGGAAGAAAAUGGCGGUACCUGACUAAGAAGCCCCGGCUAACUACGUGCCAGCAGCCGCGGUAAUACGUAGGGGGCAAGCGUUAUCCGGAUUUACGGGGUGUAAGGGAGCUUAGACGGGGCGGCAAGUCUGGUGGGAAAGGUCGGGGACCAACCCCGGGACUGCAUUGGAAACUGUGGAACUGGAGUACAGGAGAGGUAAGCGGAAUGCGUGGUGUAGCGGUGAAAUGCGUAGAUAUUAGGAGGAACACCAGUUGCGAAGGCGGCUUACUGGACCGCAACUGACGUUGAUGCUCGAAAGCGUGGGGAGCAAACAGGAUUAGAUACCCUAGUAGUC
This 439-nucleotide ribosomal RNA is filed under the name uncultured bacterium. RNAcentral's name for it is "partial 16S ribosomal RNA". It matches the Rfam family "Bacterial small subunit ribosomal RNA", at positions 338 to 795 of the family's 1533-position model. The record is from RNAcentral.